CUGUCAACCCUGAUCAGAUCAUCCGAAUCAUGCUCAACCCAAACAGUCCUGUGACUCCUCACUAGGACUACCCUAGUCAAGGUUUUGCUAAAUUGAAACACGACUGUACACAGCUCUUGAACUGGAGUGGUCAAUCCCAUCUUGACACACGCAUUGACAAGUCAAGUACUUGACUACCCCCAGGAGCCUUCCGUCACUGAAUUAGAAAUUCAAGUAGUCCAGUGCCUAAGUUUAGUGAGUUGCUUGCAAGUCACCAUGACGGUCUU
RNAcentral lists this long non-coding RNA (266 nucleotides) under Elaeis guineensis (African oil palm). RNAcentral's name for it is "long non-coding RNA (EGUI_LNC056932)". Lineage: Eukaryota; Viridiplantae; Streptophyta; Magnoliopsida; Arecales; Arecaceae. The record is from RNAcentral.